GACGAACGCUGGCGGCGUGCUUAACACAUGCAAGUCGAACGGAAAGGCCCUGCUUUUGUGGGGUGCUCGAGUGGCGAACGGGUGAGUAACACGUGAGUAACCUGCCCUUGACUUUGGGAUAACUUCAGGAAACUGGGGCUAUAACCGGAUAGGAGCUCUUGCGCCUGGGGGGGGUUUGGAAGGUUUCGGCGGUGGGGGAUGGACUCGCGGCUUACCAGCUGGUUGGUGGGGUAGUGGCUUACCAAGGCUUUGACGGGUAGCCGGCCUGGGAGGGUGACCGGCCACAUUGGGACUGAGAUACGGCCCAGACUCCUACGGGAGGCAGCAGUGGGGAAUAUUGCACAAUGGGCGGAAGCCUGAUGCAGCAACGCCGCGUGCGGGAUGACGGCCUUCGGGUUGUAAACCGCUUUCGCCUGUGACGAAGCGUGAGUGACGGUAAUGGGUAAAGAAGCACCGGCUAACUACGUG
This 468-nucleotide ribosomal RNA is filed under the name uncultured bacterium. RNAcentral's name for it is "partial 16S ribosomal RNA". It matches the Rfam family "Bacterial small subunit ribosomal RNA", at positions 28 to 507 of the family's 1533-position model. The record is from RNAcentral.